AGACCCGAAACCCGGUGAUCUAGCCAUGGGCAGGUUGAAGGUUGGGUAACACUAACUGGAGGACCGAACCGACUAAUGUUGAAAAAUUAGCGGAUGACCUGUGGCUGGGGGUGAAAGGCCAAUCAAACCGGGAGAUAGCUGGUUCUCCCCGAAAGCUAUUUAGGUAGCGCCUCGUGAAUUCAUCUCCGGGGGUAGAGCACUGUUUCGGCUAGGGGGCCAUCCCGGCUUACCAACCCGAUGCAAACUGCGAAUACCGGAGAAUGUUAUCACGGGAGACACACGGCGGGUGCUAACGUCCGUCGUGAAGAGGGAAACAACCCAGACCGCCAGCUAAGGUCCCAAAGUCAUGGUUAAGUGGGAAACGAUGUGGGAAGGCCCAGACAGCCAGGAUGUUGGCUUAGAAGCAGCCAUCAUUUAAAGAAAGCGUAAUAGCUCACUGGUCGAGUCGGCCUGCGCGGAAGAUGUAACGGGGCUAAACCAUGCACCGAAGCUGCGGCAGCGACGCUUAUGCGUUGUUGGGUAGGGGAGCGUUCUGUAAGCCUGUGAAGGUGGCCUGUGAGGGUUGCUGGAGGUAUCAGAAGUGCGAAUGCUGACAUAAGUAACGAUAAAGCGGGUGAAAAGCCCGCUCGCCGGAAGACCAAGGGUUCCUGUCCAACGUUAAUCGGGGCAGGGUGAGUCGACCCCUAAGGCGAGGCCGAAAGGCGUAGUCGAUGGGAAACAGGUUAAUAUUCCUGUACUUGGUGUUACUGCGAAGGGG
This 757-nucleotide ribosomal RNA is filed under the name Salmonella enterica. RNAcentral's name for it is "partial 23S ribosomal RNA". It matches the Rfam family "Bacterial large subunit ribosomal RNA", at positions 711 to 1469 of the family's 2925-position model. Lineage: Bacteria; Pseudomonadati; Pseudomonadota; Gammaproteobacteria; Enterobacterales; Enterobacteriaceae. RNAcentral also lists the same sequence under 1 other name. The record is from RNAcentral.